CCUACGGGAGGCAGCAGUGGGGAAUUGUUCGCAAUGGGCGCAAGCCUGACGACGCAACGCCGCGUGGAGGACGAAGAUCUUCGGGUCGUAAACUCCUGUCGAGCGGGACGAACGCUUCGCGGAUGAAUAAUCCGCGGAAUUGACGGUACCGCUAAAGGAAGCCCCGGCUAACUCCGUGCCAGCAGCCGCGGUAAUACGGGGGGGGCAAGCGUUGUUCGGAAUUACUGGGCGUAAAGGGCUCGUAGGCGGCCAACUAAGUCGGAUGUGAAAUCCCCAGGCUCAACUUGGGAACUGCAUCCGAUACUGGAUGGCUUGAAUCCGGGAGAGGGAUGCAGAAUUCCAGGUGUAGCGGUGAAAUGCGUAGAUAUCUGGAGGAAUACCGGUGGCGAAGGCGGCAUCCUGGACCGGCAUUGACGCUGAGGAGCGAAAGCCAGGGGAGC
RNAcentral lists this ribosomal RNA (440 nucleotides) under uncultured bacterium. Its description in RNAcentral is "bacterial SSU rRNA". It matches the Rfam family "Bacterial small subunit ribosomal RNA", at positions 338 to 769 of the family's 1533-position model. The record is from RNAcentral.